GAAAACUUUGAAAUUAAAAAACCUCCCCUUGUCGCAGCUCUCCAUCUCCUUUUCGAAACACUUUUUCUUGCUUGAGUUCUGUUUUCAGUCUUACGGCGGCUGAUUUCGUGGGUUAAUGGAUCUUAAUAUUUUGUGCUGGUGUGCUUCGGAUGUUGGAAGAUGUCCAUAUUUGGAUGGGUUCAGAUCUGGUGUGCUUCGUCUUUAUUAUUAUCUCUCUUUAAUCUUUUUUCUCUCCUUCUUCAUUCUCCCAACACUGGAAGUUUGAGGUAAAGUAAAACAAAAGACCAAACACCAUUUCUUCUUCUUCUUCUUUAUGGUAUGAACGGCUUUUGGGGGGCUGGACUAGGGUUUUUUGGUUCAACCAAAAAGGAGGAAAGCAGGGAAAGGAUUUCAUUUUUCAGUUGAAUAGAGACCCAUUUGAUUUUCUGCAUCAUUUGAGGAUUUUUUGGUGAGUAAUUGAAACCCUAGAUCUUACUUAUUUUAUCGGAAUUCUAGUUGUUUCUUGUAUAAUUUCUUGAAUUUUGACAUUUUUAGUCAUCUAUAUGUGCUUUGAUUAUUUUUGUUUUGUGGCUGAUAUUCGCAAGAGGAAGGGCUUGAAGCAACAGAUGACACCACUAUCCGAGUUUGAGGAUAAGCUGUAAGUCAUUGAUUGGUGACAGAUACCUUAAUAUGGUGGGCAGUAUAAUUUUUGUCUCGUUUGCUUGUUUACAUUUUUGAAGUUAAUUUUCCAAUGCGUCAUGUACUCGGUACUUCAUUUCUUUUUUAAUGAGUUGUUGCCCAGGCACUCUAUUCUGUUUUGUUUUUAGAUGUGGUUAUAAGGACAAGAAUGUUGUGUUAAAUUUCAAUGUUUAGUCGUCUCUGUGUUUUGGAAUUGGUUGUGCCAGUUAUUUGUUCAAGUAUGUUAGUAGAUGCUCUGUUAAUAGCUGUGUGCAGAAUCUGCAUAUUAGCUCCUCUAGUAUUCCUGUUUCCAUAGAUUGCUUGUUGCAGGACCUCUAUCUAAGAUGAAACUACGAUUUGGUCCAAGGUGUCCCCUGUCGACCAAUAUGAACAUAGAUAUUGAAUACACUGCCUUCCACCGAUUCUUAUAUCAAAUGCGUCAUUAAUUUAGUGAUUCUACCUAAUUUCUACUAUUCCCCUCUUCUUUUUAUGCUCUCCAGGUUCUAAAAAGUCUGCUGCUGGCAGCUCCUCUUUGAUCAAAUCAAACAACUCCUCUUUACUCAAGCCCAACAAGCGACGGCCAUAAACUAGGACCAACUUUGUGAGUUUGUCUCUGAUCCCUACUGGCAUUCGUUACUUCUA
Molecule: long non-coding RNA, 1299 nt
Filed under: Panax ginseng (ginseng)
Lineage: Eukaryota; Viridiplantae; Streptophyta; Magnoliopsida; Apiales; Araliaceae
Description: long non-coding RNA (PGIN_LNC011530)
Source: RNAcentral